GAUCCUGGCUCAGAUGAACGCUAGCGGCAGGCCUAAUACAUGCAAGUCGAACGGUAAGGCUUUCGGGGGUACACGAGUGGCGGACGGGUGCGUAACGCGUAUACAACCUACCUUUCAGGGGGAUAGCCUGAAGAAAUUCAGAUUAAUACCGCAUAAAACAAUUGGAUCGCAUGGUGAUUGUUAAAGAUUUAUCACUGAAAGAUGGGUAUGCGUGACAUUAGCUAGUUGGUGAGAACUGCUCACCAAGGCGACGAUGUCUAGCUGGUCUGAGAGGAUGAUCAGCCACACUGGCUGAGACACGGCCCAGACUCCUACGGGAGGCAGCAGUAGGGAAUAUUGGACAAUGGGCAAGCCUGAUCCAGCCAUGCCGCGUGAAGGAAGACGGACCUCUGGUUUGUAAACUUCUUAGCAGGGAAUAAACGAUCACUAUAUGUGAUUCUGAAGGUACCUGCAGAAUAAGCACCGUAACUCCGUGCCAGCAGCCGCGGUAAUACGGAGGGUGCAAGCGUUGUCCGGAUUUAUUGUUUAAAGGGUGCGUAGGCGGUAUUGUAAGUCAGUGGUGAAAUCUUGCUGCUCAACAGAAAUUGCCAUUGAUACUGCAGUACUUGAGUCCAUUCGAGGUGGUUGGAAUGCGUAGUGGCGGUGAAAUGCAUAGAUAUUACGCAGAACACCUAUUGCGAAGGCAGAUCACUAGGAUUACUGACGCUGAGGCACGAAAGCGUGGGGAGCGAACAGGAUUAGAUACCCUGGUAGUCCGCCGUAAACGAUGGAUACUAGAUGUUCGGCAAAUUGAUGUUGAGUGUCUAAGGGGAAGAUAAGUAUCCCACCUGGGGAGUACGUCCGCAAGGAUGAAACUCAAAGGAAUUGACGGGCCCGCACAAGCGGUGGAGCAUGUGGUUUAAUUCGAUGAUACGCGAGGAACCUUACCUGCUAGAAUGCCUUUGACCGCUCAUGAAAGUGAGUUUUCCUUCGGGACAAAGUGCAAGGCUGCAUGGUUGUCGUCAGCUCGUGCCGUGAGGUGUUGGGUUAAGUCCCGCAACGAGCGACCCCUAUCCUUAGUUACCAGCAUUUAGUUGGGGACUCUAAGGAGACUGCCUGCGCAAAGUGAGGAAGGUGGGGACGACGUCAAAUCAUCAUGGCCCUUACGCCCAGGGCUACACAUGCUACAAUGGACGGUACAACGGGUUGCAACACUGCGAAGUGAAGCUAAUCUCUAAAACGUUCUCAGUUCGGAUCGGAGUCUGCAACUCGACUCCGUGAAGCCGGAAUCGCUAGUACGCGCAUCAGCUACGGCGCGGUGAAUACGUUCCCGGGCCUUGUACACACCGCCCGUCACCAUGGAAGCCGGGGGUACCUAACGUCGGUGGUCUAACCUUUUCGGAGGAGGAAGCCGUAGGGUAAAACUGGUGACUGGGGCUAAGUC
This 1423-nucleotide ribosomal RNA is filed under the name uncultured bacterium. RNAcentral describes it as "bacterial SSU rRNA". It matches the Rfam family "Bacterial small subunit ribosomal RNA". The record is from RNAcentral.